This 536-nucleotide long non-coding RNA is filed under the name Helianthus annuus (common sunflower). The record is from RNAcentral. Lineage: Eukaryota; Viridiplantae; Streptophyta; Magnoliopsida; Asterales; Asteraceae.
CCUUAUCCCCCAUCAAAAACGUAAGUUUUGCAUGAUAUCCACAACUCCUCAAAUCUAAAAACCCUAACUUACGCAUAUUAUAUCUGCUCUACAUUCCUUUCGCUACUGUUGAUGUGAGAAUCAAGCUUUGGAAUCCCUCAAGUAAUUCGGCUCGGGCCCUUAACCAUUCACAUCGCACAUACAACUCGGUAAUGAUCUACAGGUACAGCUACGGACGGACAUUGCAAGCGGAUGGAGUGUGUGUGGUUUGGAAAGUGAAUGACCCUUGACUUACAAGUGGCGGAGGCAGAGGUCGAGUUAGGGACAGAGGCAGAGUAAAUGCAGAACGAGGUCCUGGUGUGACUGACCGGAAUCGAAUCUUCUACAUCAAAGCAGGGACCCAACCAACAGCCACUCAUAUUCCACCAAAGAGUGAUAGUGUAGUCGUUCCAAGCACCGGUGGCAGAGACCUCAAUCAGAAUGCUGGUCUUUGAUGAGAGUACACAUAAGUAUAAUAUUUUAAUACUUUGUUUAAAAAAUAAAAUUAAAUAAUUGAA